Long non-coding RNA from Felis catus (domestic cat), 744 nucleotides. RefSeq lists it as uncharacterized. The transcript is spliced from 2 exons. The record is from RefSeq and is a predicted model, not a curated record. Lineage: Eukaryota; Metazoa; Chordata; Mammalia; Carnivora; Felidae.
GAGAAAGGAAGGCAGUCACAAUCAGGAGGCAGUGUAAAGAAUGGGAUCCUAUCAAAGCACUUCCUAACCAGGAAAAGGAUUGUGUGUAGACUAACUGAACGCACCCAGGCCCCGUGCCACCUGCUGCCGGCUGUCCUCACAACGCGCCUGUUUACGCUGAUGUACUGUUGGGUGUUUCGAGCCUCCUUUGACCGGCAGCGGUGGUGAUGUGUUGUUCUCGGCCUUCCUGGAACCUUUCUGCGUUUUGAGAUCUCUUUUAUAUCGGUGACCGGAGCCGGUGGCAAGUACGCCCCCUAGCAGAAGGAAAACGCGGUCUGUGCGCCCGCCUACGCACAGCCCCGGUGGAAGAAGAGGCGGGUGCCCGAGCCACGACUGUUCCUCGAAGAGCCCACAGCAGUUCCUCGCUGCUGUCAGUAAUGGUAAUUAUAGUCAUAGAGCACUGUCCCCUGAGGAGCUCAAAGCACUCUGUAGACGCUGUGGCAUUGAUCCUCGUAACACGAGUGUAACAGGGAGAAGGAGCACGCGUUGUUACCGUUUUAUAGAUGGGGAAACUUAACCGAGACGGGCGGAAAUGACUUUCUGUUCACGUGGCGCAGGUCAUGCCGUAGAGGUUUCAUGAAUUCUGAUGUGUGUGCUAAUCACCCCCGCUAAAUCACCGCCGCGGACCAGCCUUUCUUAAUAAGGAUGUCAACUCAGGCGUAUCGCCAAGACGUUGUUCCAUAAUGAAAAGUCAUUCAAAGACCA